This 484-nucleotide ribosomal RNA is filed under the name uncultured bacterium. RNAcentral describes it as "partial 16S ribosomal RNA". It matches the Rfam family "Bacterial small subunit ribosomal RNA", at positions 30 to 507 of the family's 1533-position model. The record is from RNAcentral.
AUUGAACGCUGGCGGCAGGCCUAACACAUGCAAGUCGAGCGGAUGAAGCGAGCUUGCUCCUGGAUUCAGCGGCGGACGGGUGAGUAAUGCCUAGGAAUCUGCCUGGUAGUGGGGGAUAACGUCCGGAAACGGGCGCUAAUACCGCAUACGUCCUGAGGGAGAAAGAGGGGGGGGUUCGGACAUCACGCUAUCAGAUGAGCUUAGGUCGGAUUAGCUAGUUGGUGGGGUAAAGGCCUGCCAAGCCGACGAUCGGCAACUGGUCUGAGAGGAUGAUCAGUCACCCUGGAGCUUGGACACGGUCCAUACUCCUACGGUAGGCAGCAGUGGGGAAUAUGGGACAAUGGUCGAAAGCCUGAUCCAGCCAUGCGGCGUGUGUUAAGAAGGUCUUCGGAUUGUAAAGAACUUUAAGUUGGGGGGAAGGGCAGUAAGUUAAUACCUUGCUGUUUUGACGGUACCAACAGAAGAAGCACCGGCUAACUUCGUG